This is a long non-coding RNA of Halichondria panicea, 377 nucleotides long. RefSeq lists it as uncharacterized. The transcript is spliced from 2 exons. NCBI's taxonomy places the organism in Eukaryota, Metazoa, Porifera, Demospongiae, Suberitida, Halichondriidae. The record is from RefSeq and is a predicted model, not a curated record.
CAAUUUCUACGUGAGUCAACACUUAUUAGAUAAGGAGGAUCCUCAGAAACAGCUAAAAAGAGGGAAAGGAGGCUUGCUAGACCCAGAGAAAGAUACAGGGUACACAGGAGCAGCAAGAAGUGAAGGUAACGGAUCAGGUGUCAUAUACGGCACCGGCAAGAGACUCCAGAGGCCACACAGGCACGCUUGAAGCAAUACAUGCAGGCAUAGGUAUACAGAGUGAAUCCCGACAUGCCUCUAUUCGAACAGUCUAAUCCAAGAUGCUGUUUAUAUCUGCAGUCAUGCCAAUAAUGUCCAUCUAUCGAUUACCACUUGGACAAUAUGAAUACGCAGGCCAUGUCAUCAACUUGCCACAAGAUGUGGUGUCAUUUGCACAA